GCCUCCGCAGCGCAAUUGGAUAGCGCGUUCGAUUGCUAUCGAGAAGUACGAAGUUCGAGCCUCCCAGGGACG
Non-coding RNA from Histoplasma capsulatum G186AR, 72 nucleotides. Lineage: Eukaryota; Fungi; Ascomycota; Eurotiomycetes; Onygenales; Ajellomycetaceae. The record is from the annotation of a RefSeq genome assembly.